This 794-nucleotide ribosomal RNA is filed under the name uncultured archaeon. Its description in RNAcentral is "bacterial SSU rRNA". It matches the Rfam family "Archaeal small subunit ribosomal RNA", at positions 85 to 879 of the family's 1478-position model. The record is from RNAcentral.
ACUGCUCAGUAACACGUGGACAACCUGCCCUUAGGUUGGGUAUAAACCCGGGAAACUGGGUAUAAUACCCGAUAGGUCUCGAUUGCUGGAAUGCAUCGAGAUUUAAAGCUCCGGCGCCUAAGGAUGGGUCUGCGGCCUAUCAGGUAGUAGUGGGUGUAGCGUACCUACUAGCCUACGACGGGUACGGGUUGUGAGAGCAAGAGCCCGGAGAUGGAUUCUGAGACACGAAUCCAGGCCCUACGGGGUGCAGCAGGCGCGAAAACUUUACAAUGCUGGCAACAGCGAUAAGGGAACCUCGAGUGCCAGGUUACAAAUCUGGCUGUCGAGAUGCCUAAAAAGCAUUUCAUAGCAAGGGCCGGGCAAGACCGGUGCCAGCCGCCGCGGUAACACCGGCGGCUCGAGUGGUAACCGUUAUUAUUGGGUCUAAAGGGUCUGUAGCCGGCCGGAUAAGUCUCUUGAGAAAUCUGGCAGCUUAACUGUCAGGCUUUCAGGAGAUACUGUCUGGCUCGAGGCCGGGAGAGGUGAGAGGUACUUCAGGGGUAGGGGUGAAAUCUUGUAAUCCUUGAAGGACCACCAGUGGCGAAGGCGUCUCACCAGAACGGACCUGACGGCAAGGGACGAAAGCUAGGGGCACGAACCGGAUUAGAUACCCGGGUAGUCCUAGCCGUAAACGAUACUCGCUAGGUGUCGGCCACGGUGCGACCGUUGUCAGUGCCGUAGGGAAGCCGUGAAGCGAGCCACCUGGGAAGUACGGGCCGCAAGGCUGAAACUUAAAGGAAUUGGCGGGGGAGCAC